Molecule: long non-coding RNA, 215 nt
Filed under: Homo sapiens (human)
Lineage: Eukaryota; Metazoa; Chordata; Mammalia; Primates; Hominidae
Description: LHRI_LNC749.1
Source: RNAcentral
AACACCAUGAAGCCAAGAGCAAUGGAACCAUCAUCUCUUGCAGGAAAAGGAGUGGAUGCCCACGUGGCUGGCUGAGGCUCCUGGGCCCGCCGCCUCCGUCCCCCCGCUGGCCUGUCCCCGACUCAUCACUGGAUCGCCUCCACAUAAUUUGCCGGGUAUAGGCCAACUUGCCCGUUGUCCAAGCGUCCCUUGCACCAGCCCUGCUCAUCCUCGUC